This is a long non-coding RNA of Equus asinus (donkey), 3334 nucleotides long. The record is from Ensembl. NCBI's taxonomy places the organism in Eukaryota, Metazoa, Chordata, Mammalia, Perissodactyla, Equidae.
GUGAGAUAACUGAGCUUGACCAGGGAUUACACACCAAAUGGCUAUAGGUUGCAGGUCCUUCUGGUUGUGCUGUGUGGGAUGCCACCUCAGCAUGGCCUGAUGAGCGGUGCCAUGUCUGCGCCCAGGAUCCGAACUGGUGAAACCCAGGGCCCUAAGUGGAGCGUGUGGAUUUAACCACUUGGCCAUGUGGACAGCCCCUGUCCGAGCCUUUGAUAUACUAAGGCCGUGCUGUCCAACAUGGCAGCCACCAGACACAGGCAGCUAUGGAGCACUGGAGGUGUGGCUCGCCUGCUGUGAGAUGUGCUGAGCGACUCAUAAAGUUAGUGUUUCAUGGAAUGUACUUCUGGAAAGAGCUCCAACUCCAACGCAUGAUUUUAUGAUGCUGUGAGAGACGGAGGAGCGACGUCCAGGAUUUCUCCUUGCCUUUGAUUUUGGUGGCAUUAUGCCCAAUAUGUAAACCGAAGCAGAUAUGAAAGCCUGCUUGACUCCAUCAUGCCUCAGGAUCGCUGAGGAAUCACAUUUUCACACGUGAAAAUGCCCCAGGAUCCCACUUAUGGUAUCUGUGUGCUGCCUGGAUUCAGAAUGAGGAAGGUUAGGGUGCGGUCCAGGAACCUGUAUCUCAAGCACUCCUGGCAAUUCUGUUGUAGGAUUUCAAGCGUUUCAUGGAUUAAAAAAAACAAAUUCCGGUGUGCUAAUUCAGUUAGUCCAGGACCUCAUUUUGACAAACACUCUCAUAUGGUCUUAAAAAGUUGAAGUUUUAAAAAAUACUGCUUUAGAGAUAUUUUUGGUUGGGAAACAUAUGACCCAUGUUCUGAGGGAACUUAGAAUCUAAUAAACGACGUUGUGAGAUAGAUAGGUGGGUAGAUAGAUAGUUAGAACCACCUUCUUCUCGAGAUACUCCUUAAACAACUAGAAUGUCUGAGUCUAUUCGGCUUUGACUCUAUUGCUUGGAAUCCUUUUGCAUGGGGGCCUGAGAAGCUUCCUAGGAGAGAGUUCACUAGAGGCACAGGGUUUGACCCAGUUACAAGGCCCCACCAGGAAGGAAGAUGCUGCAUCACCAGGGUCUACCACAAUGCCUGACAUGUGAUGGGCAUUCAAUAAAUACCUCUUUGAAUGGAUAAAUGAAUAAGUCAGUUAAUGAGACAGUGAAUGAAUUCUGACGUCUUUAGCUUGGUCCGUGGCUCCACGACCACAACUCCUCAGUUCAUGAUCCAAUCUUAGGGGGAAAGCAUGAUGCAAAUAAAAUCUGAAAGAUGUUUUCACUGAAAAAUUGUAAGACAUGGGGGUGCAAUAGCAUUGCUUAGCCCAUGUAUCACAUAAAUGGGGUGAGAUGCAUUCCCUCUUCCUGGGUUGGGAAUACAGAGGUGCUUUGAUGCCCAGAGGCCUAGUGAUCCUUUGAAUCUCAAGGGUCUAACCCACCUGCGUGAGCAGAUGCGAUGCUGGGGUGAUGAGAGGCAAGCAGUGCUGUCCAACAGCAGGUGGCUUAGCAGUGGAUGUAGGGCACAGUAGAAGGUGCCUUCCUGGUCCCUUACACACAGUGAAUGACUCAACUGUGUAUAUCACCAAAGAGUUCUUUUAGAUCAGAAGAGAGAGGAAUGGCCUGUAUCACAUCAUAGAAGGUGUGACAUAUUUGUGAACUAUUUCUGGACAUUCUCUGUAACAAAUGGCAAGGUCUUGACAGAAAAGUAAGGCAAUGCCUCUUAAACUUUAGUGUACCCCUGGGGAGCUUGCUAAAAUGCAGAUUUUGAUUCAGUAGGUCAGGUGGGGACUGAAAUUUUACAUUUCUAAGAAGCCCCCAGGUGGUGCUAAUGCUGCUGGUCCAUGGACCACACUUUGAGUAGCAAGGAUCCAAAGAAUUUGUAGUUUAAAGUGAUGAUAAGAGGCAACGAAGUAAAGGUUCUCACUAUUAAUAGGGUGCCAUAAGGAUGCCCAAAUCAGUACUGUUUUGGGGAAAUCUAGAUGAUAUUUAGAAAUGAGUGGUAAAUUCAAAGGCAGGAGAACUUACCAAAACAGGUGUAACAUUCUACCAAGGGCCCUGAUGGAUGGGAUUCAUUCAAGAGAGAAAUAUUUGGGGGGUGGUUUGUGCAAGAUCUUUGCAGAAAUAGUAUGUAGGAAUGCUCUUCCUAAGAGAGGAUGAAAGUGGUAAAAAAUGAUCAUUGCAACAUUAUUCAGAAUAGCCAAGAUGUGGAAGGAACCCAAGUGCCCAUCGACAGAUGAUUGGAUAAAGAAGAUGUGGUAUAUACAUACAAUGGAAUACUACUCAGCCAUGGAAAAGACAAAAUUGUCCCAUUUGCAACAACAUGGAUAGACCCUGAGGAAUAAGCAGUAUCUGCCCAGGGAGCUGAGCAGAGGGCGUGUGUCAUGUGGGUGGAAGUUUGGAGCCGGAGUGGUGGCUGUUUGUUACUGAAAGAAAAAGGCCGAGCUCACGGACGCCAUGCUGGGGACUGUACCAGCCACUGAGCAGAAAGGAUGCAGGGAUGGCACCACAGAGCAGGAAGAGGGGCAGCUCUCAGGCAGCCAUGUGGGAGCUCUGGAGGCGCAGGCCUCAGGGCCCAGCGGUGGCAGGGAUCGCCCUCUUCUUGAAGUCAGUUUCUUCUCUGAGGUUGUUGGAGAGCACUGGAAAGUAACCAGGGGAAAUUAGAAGCAAAUUUAUCUAGAGCCCUGGAGGUCAAGGGCUUCUGCGACAAGUCCUUGAACAUGGUGACUAUGGGUGCGUCUUCUCCUUGUGGUGGCAGGACUGCUUCCCAAAGCGAUUAAAGGGAAGCUGUGCUACACUGGGUUUGACACCAGCAUAGAGACUUCACCAAAAACCCAGAAAGCACCCUGCAGAGAGGAACUUCCCCUGGUCCCAGGCCCUUCUCCACUCUUCCCAGGGUGCUGGAUUGUUGAACUGGCCGAGAUUGGAGCCUUAGAUCCCAGAUGCUGAUGUUAACAGCAUCCAAGAAGACAGUGUGGAGAAAUAGUUGCUGAUGUAUCUCCCAGCACUCAAGGAACCGGAAAUUAAAUGCAAACCAUAUGGGUUCUGUGAAGAUAUUAUGUCACAUAAGGCAAAAAAGAGGCAGAAGGAAAUAUUGUUCAUAAUAUUACUAUAAUAAACAGAAAAAAACUAUUUACCAGCACAUGCUUUGUACUCUCAAAACUCAAGGAAACAUGGAAAAAGGAGAAGAAAGAUGAGUAGUAAGAAAUUAGAGUUGAGAAGAGAACAGAUUGAGACCAAGCAGUAAUUAAAAAUAAAUGAGAUAAGAAAAGAAUUUCAGGAACUACCUUGGUACUUCUCAGAAGAAACCAUCAGAAACACUAAAGUAUAAGGAGCUGUUAAUAGCUUAAAAUCUGC